GUAUGCUAAGCCGCUUGUUGAUAGAAUAGAUGCUGAAAACAGGUUUGGUCGUAGACUUUAUCGGCCUUCAACAAGUUCAACGGAAUUCAGGGAACAUGUGAAGGAUCUUUCGUGUAUAUCAACGAACUUUUGCAGAAUUGUGAUUGUGGACAACAAUCCGUUCAGUUUCUUAUUGCAACCAGUCAACGGAAUCCCA
Molecule: long non-coding RNA, 196 nt
Organism: Helianthus annuus (common sunflower)
Lineage: Eukaryota; Viridiplantae; Streptophyta; Magnoliopsida; Asterales; Asteraceae
Exons: 2
Source: RefSeq, a predicted model, not a curated record